RNAcentral lists this unclassified non-coding RNA (543 nucleotides) under Hevea brasiliensis (rubber tree). Lineage: Eukaryota; Viridiplantae; Streptophyta; Magnoliopsida; Malpighiales; Euphorbiaceae. The record is from RNAcentral.
UUUUUUUUUUUUUUUUACUUUUACUAAACCUUUGAAUUAACCCCAGCCAUCCAUCUCUUAGAAAUAAUCUAAGCCAUCCAAUCCAUAAUAUAUGAUCAUUCUUUCACAAAACCCAUCUUCUCCUUGCCCCACCACCCACCUCCCCAUCUGCUUUCUUCCUUUGCUCUUUGCUUUCUUCCCCUUCAUUUCCCCUUCUCUUCUCUCUUCUUGUGCUCUCCACCCACUUCUUCCUCGCCUAGAAUAUUUAGUUUAUUUUCUUCCUUUAUUGCUUCCCACUUCAUUUCUUCCUUUAUUUUCUGCCGUGCACAGUGUAUGUGAUUCCAUCCUUAGGGCCCAACGCCACAGGAAAACAGCCCCUCAACAUCAGCGCCCUAGCACUGCAGCACCAGCACCAGAGGCCCACAGCUCCUCCAUUUAUUUUUCCUUUCCUUUUUUAAUUUAUUUUCUGCAAUAUGUAAGAUUGAUCGGAUGAUUGUCAUUUUGAGUUAAAUUUGUUAAUGGAAAUUUUUGUUUUCAAUUAUUUUGUUUUGGAUAUUUAUUUGA